Molecule: long non-coding RNA, 215 nt
Filed under: Nicotiana benthamiana
Lineage: Eukaryota; Viridiplantae; Streptophyta; Magnoliopsida; Solanales; Solanaceae
Description: long non-coding RNA (NBEN_LNC001939)
Source: RNAcentral
AUUUAAUGGAUACGUACCAGAUUCAGACGACUCCUUGCCUACAUUGUCAUCAUUAUAUGAACCUGAAUCAUUAAUAAUAUUUUCUGUCCCCUUCUGCAGGUUCAGCUUUCUAGAUUCCACAUCCUCAUAAUAUGACUUUGCUUGAUCCACCAGAGCACUAGCCUCAUGCUUUGAUGCCUUAACUAUUUCUGCCAUUGCCUGAAGAGUGGAGGAAG